Molecule: ribosomal RNA, 253 nt
Filed under: uncultured bacterium
Lineage: Bacteria
Description: partial 16S ribosomal RNA
Rfam family: Bacterial small subunit ribosomal RNA
Source: RNAcentral
UACGGAGGGUGCGAGCGUUGUCCGGAAUCAUUGGGCGUAAAGUGUGCGCAGGCGGCAGAGCAAGUCGAGUGUGAAAGCCCCGGGCUUAACUUGGGAAUUGCGCUCGAAACUACUUUGCUGGAGUGUGGCAGAGGAAGGUGGAAUUCCACGUGUAGCGGUGAAAUGCGCAGAUAUCAGGAGGAACACCAAUGGCGAAGGCAGCUCGCUGGGACGGUACUGACGCUGAGACGCGAAAGCGUGGGGAGCAAACAGG